AUUUACAGAGUGUACAUAGCCAAAACGCAUCCAUAGGAAACUGCUCGCUGAUACUUUGUAAUGCUGUUUUUUAAUUUGUGAUUUCAAAGUAUACACGAAUUUUGCGUAUUGCUUGCGUAUAUUUCGUAGCUUAGACGUGCACAUGUAUCUUUCCAAUCUAUAGACGGUCAAAUUUAACUAUACAAAAUUAAUAUUAGGUAAAGCAUUAAAUAAAAAUGGCUUUUGAAUCUGAGUUUGUUUAUUAAAAAUGCUAAUUAAACAGGCUUCUUUUUAAUAUCAUUAUUCGCCCCCAAAAAUGUAUGUUGCCUUCUAAAUUAUUAAGUCAGCCACAAUUAACGAGCAUCUAAAUAAUACUAUCUUAGCCACUAGCUAUCUUCUAAGUAAACCACUCUAAAUACAACUCAGCAUGAUGGUUACUUUUUAGCAUCUUUUGUAGCAGGCAUUCUAACAGUAAACUUCUAAAAUACUAUUAAAUGACAUCAUUAAAAUAUAUUUAAUUAGCUUAUUUUUUAACUCAGUCCCUCUUAUUAUAAAACGCGGUAUCAAAUAAGUAUCGGCUUUUGUACUACCUUUAAUCCACCUUUAAGUACGACCUUGAAAAAACGUUAUUACAAAACGCAGUUUAUCGCAAGUCCUAUUACUAUCUGUAGUACAAAAGAUAAACCAUCGAGCCCCCUAGUUUAACUGCAGUACUUAGUCGACAAACGUCAAAUUCCGACAUUAUUUACUUUUGAGGUUAUUUGUUUUGUGAUGAAAAAAAACGAAAGUGGAUAUAAAUAUGUGUGAUUUGGAAUACUUGGAUGUGUUAGAAUACUAUUGAGAGUGUCCGGGGACCCAACAGAAUGCGUCAUCGACAAAAUCUCUUCAAAUUACCUGACGACAAUUUUCGAUAUAAAUAUCGAUUUACGUUUUUCGAAAUAAUAGUCAAUUGAAUGCAUGAUGAUAAUCCAGGAUGAUCCUAUGAUGCUCAACUGGGCUCGCCAUAAAAUUCAAGACUAUUUUGGCGUUUUGCACGCCGUAUCUCUGCCAGUAAUAUGCAAUGUUUGUAAAAGACUGGAAGCUUGCUAAAAUGUACAAAAAUGCCUAGAUGAGAAAGGGAACAAGAUUGUGUGAUGAAGAACAGUGUCCAACAUGUAUCAGUGCAUUUGACUGUAUAAAUAGACAUCGGAAUAAAAUAUAAUUUUCUACUUU
Molecule: long non-coding RNA, 1191 nt
Organism: Helicoverpa armigera (cotton bollworm)
Lineage: Eukaryota; Metazoa; Arthropoda; Insecta; Lepidoptera; Noctuidae
Exons: 2
Source: RefSeq, a predicted model, not a curated record